GUGUCAGCCGCCGCGGUAAUACGUAGGGUGCAAGCGUUAAUCGGAAUUACUGGGCGUAAAGCGUGCGCAGGCGGUUAUAUAAGACAGAUGUGAAAUCCCCGGGCUCAACCUGGGAGCUGCAUUUGUGACUGUAUAGCUAGAGUACGGUAGAGGGGGAUGGAAUUCCGCGUGUAGCAGUGAAAUGCGUAGAUACGCGGAGGAACACCGAUGGCGAAGGCAAUCCCCUGGACCUGUACUGACGCUCAUGCACGAAAGCGUGGGGAGCAAACAGGAUUAGAAACCCGGGUAGUCC
Molecule: ribosomal RNA, 292 nt
Filed under: uncultured Acidovorax sp.
Lineage: Bacteria; Pseudomonadati; Pseudomonadota; Betaproteobacteria; Burkholderiales; Comamonadaceae
Description: partial 16S ribosomal RNA
Rfam family: Bacterial small subunit ribosomal RNA
Source: RNAcentral